This is a long non-coding RNA of Cyprinus carpio (common carp), 278 nucleotides long. RefSeq lists it as uncharacterized. NCBI's taxonomy places the organism in Eukaryota, Metazoa, Chordata, Actinopteri, Cypriniformes, Cyprinidae. The record is from RefSeq and is a predicted model, not a curated record. The transcript is spliced from 3 exons.
GGUAUAAUGUAGGCCGCUAUUGAGGGUCAACUUGGAAAAUUACAGAGUCAAUUCCCUGCGGAAGAUCUAGGAGGAGCUGUUUGUUGGGCUGGAGGAACUGCCCUGUGGCGGCUCUUUGAGAGGUUAAGCUGGAGAUUGUCAUUGCCCAAGGUGAACUGGCUUUCAGUGGUAACUGGGUGGAAACUAGAAAGACGAGUUCAGGAUGAGCUCUGCGGCUUGGGCUUGUGCUGUGGUUGAGCUGGUAAACCCAUGAGGUGAGCAGAUCCAAACCCCUGACA